AGAAAUUUAAGUUAACAGACUAAAGGU
Molecule: transfer RNA, 27 nt
Filed under: Plethodon cinereus (red-backed salamander)
Lineage: Eukaryota; Metazoa; Chordata; Amphibia; Caudata; Plethodontidae
Description: partial tRNA-Trp
Source: RNAcentral